UUCUCAGCGCUUUACUGGUAUCAAGAAGGUCUGGAGCGUCGGUAACCUCGAAGUCUUGUUACAUGGAUGAUCUGCUGUGGCAGGGAGAUAGCGAUCCAUUAUGACCGUCUUGAAGGAAGCAAUUUGGAACGAACAGGACAAGAUACAUGGGUAGUCCACCCAGUAACAGAUUAUUAGUAGUUGUGUGGCGAUAUACAGCAAGUGGUUGAGAGAAAGCGUUGAGUCAUCCACCUGCGGCGUACGUUGGCACGGAUGUAACUCAUCGGUAUUGGCGAGGUACCGCCCAACCGGAAGAACAUAUUGCUUUUUUUUGCUGAUCCGCGGGGGUCUACAACCGGGAUUGCCAUGCAUCUUCCAGGAACAGAGAUGGUUUAUACCUUCGGCCCAGAUCCAAAAGUCCUGCAUGGUGCUUGUCAUAUCAGUCCGUGAGGUGUCGCAGUAACAGCCAUGACGAGCACCAUCUUAAUCACUAUAUACCAUCAGGCUAAGCUGGGCAGUUUCAUCAGCCACCCAUUGAAAGAACUGAGGAUGAUGGACAUGACGUCAAUUCAUCACGAACAUUACUAUCCGGGACACACACUUUAUACAAUAGUAGUCACUAAGUCCACGUAUAUGUCCACAUGAUAUUAUAUCCCAUACCACUUUCUCAUCGGAGCGGCGUUUGCCACUAUACUCAGUGAAACUUCAUUUGCUACCCAUCGAGCAUCAUCUAUUAGGCCGAUAAAACGCGGUCGUCCUGUGUACACACUCGCACUUUAAGGAAGAAAUCCGGCCGCUAAUUCAUUGCCCUAUAUGGUUUAUGUCUCUUUU
RNAcentral lists this ribosomal RNA (810 nucleotides) under uncultured bacterium. Its description in RNAcentral is "bacterial SSU rRNA". The record is from RNAcentral.